RNAcentral lists this ribosomal RNA (1376 nucleotides) under uncultured Pelagibacterales bacterium. Its description in RNAcentral is "bacterial SSU rRNA". It matches the Rfam family "Bacterial small subunit ribosomal RNA". Lineage: Bacteria; Pseudomonadati; Pseudomonadota; Alphaproteobacteria; Candidatus Pelagibacterales. The record is from RNAcentral.
UAACACAUGCAAGUCGAACGAAGUAGCAAUACUUAGUGGCAGACGGGUGAGUAACAUGUAGGUAUCUGCCCUUUGGCCUGGAAUAACACGAGGAAACUUGUGCUAAUACCGGAUAAGUCUUUACGGAGAAAGCUUUAUGCACCAUUGGAUGAGCCUGCACUUGAUUAGUUUGUUGGUGGGGUAAUGGCCUACCAAGACUAUGAUCAAUAGCUGAUUUGAGAGGAUGAUCAGCCACAUUGGGACUGAGACACGGCCCAAACUCCUACGGGAGGCAGCAGUGGGGAAUCUUGCACAAUGGAGGAAACUCUGAUGCAGCGAUGCCGCGUGAGUGAAGAAGGCCCUUGGGUUGUAAAGCUCUUUCGUCGGGGAAGAAAAUGACUGUACCCGAAUAAGAAGGUCCGGCUAACUUCGUGCCAGCAGCCGCGGUAAUACGAAGGGACCUAGCGUAGUUCGGAUUUACUGGGCUUAAAGAGUUCGUAGGUGGUUGAAAAAGUUGAUGGUGAAAUCCCAGAGCUUAACUCUGGAACUGCCAUCAAAACUUUUCAGCUAGAGUAUGAUAGAGGAAAGCAGAAUUUCUAGUGUAGAGGUGAAAUUCGUAGAUAUUAGAAAGAAUACCAAUUGCGAAGGCAGCUUUCUGGAUCAUUACUGACACUGAGGAACGAAAGCAUGGGUAGCGAAGUGGAUUAGAUACCCACGUAGUCCAUGCCGUAAACGAUGUGUGUUAGACGUUGGAAAUUUAUUUUCAGUGUCGCAGCGAAAGCGAUAAACACACCGCCUGGGGAAUACGACCGCAAGGUUAAAACUCAAAUGAAUUGACGGGGACCCGCACAAGUAGUGGAGCAUGUGGUUUAAUUCGAAGAUACGCGCAGAACCUUACCAACACUUGACAUGUUCGUCGCGACUCUAAGAGAUUAGAGUUUUCGGUUCGGCCGGACGAAACACAGGUGCUGCAUGGCUGUCGUCAGCUCGUGUCGUGAGAUGUUGGGUUAAGUCCCGCAACGAGCGCAACCCUCACUUUUAGUUGCCAUCAUUAAGUUGGGCACUCUGAAAGAACUGCCAGUGAUAAGCUGGAGGAAGGUGGGGAUGACGUCAAGUCCUCAUGGCCCUUACGUGUUGGGCUACACACGUGCUACAAUGGUAUCUACAACAGGAAGCAAGACUGCGAGGUCAAGCAAAUCCUUAAAAGAUACCUCAGUUCGGAUUGCACUCUGCAACUCGAGUGCAUGAAGCUGGAAUUACUAGUAAUCGUGGAUCAGCGUGCCACGGUGAAUGCGUUCCCGGGUCUUGUACACACCGCCCGUCACACCAUGGGAGUUGGUUCUACCUUAAGGCAAGGUUUUAAACCCUUGACCACGGUAUAGUCAGCGACUGGGGUG